CCCAUUUACUCCUUGGGGAUUGCGGGGGGCGGAUGAUGGCCUCCCGUGCGCCUCGUCGCGCGGUUGGCAUAAAUGCCAAGUCCUCGGCGACGCACGCCACGACAAUCGGUGGUUGCGAAACCUCGGUUGCCCGUCGUGUGCGGUCGUCGCGCAUCGAGGGCUCG
This 164-nucleotide unclassified non-coding RNA is filed under the name Prunus maritima. RNAcentral describes it as "internal transcibed spacer 2". Lineage: Eukaryota; Viridiplantae; Streptophyta; Magnoliopsida; Rosales; Rosaceae. The record is from RNAcentral.